RNAcentral lists this ribosomal RNA (905 nucleotides) under uncultured soil bacterium. Its description in RNAcentral is "bacterial SSU rRNA". It matches the Rfam family "Bacterial small subunit ribosomal RNA", at positions 8 to 916 of the family's 1533-position model. The record is from RNAcentral.
AGAGUUUGAUCCUGGCUCAGGAUGAACGCUAGCGGCAGGCCUAAUACAUGCAAGUCGAACGGAUCUGAAGACUUCGGUUUUCAGAUUAGUGGCGCACGGGUGCGUAACGCGUAUGCAACCUACCUUUUAUUGGGGGAUAGCCCGUCGAAAGACGGAUUAAUACCGCAUAAUAUCACUUGAUGGCAUCUGAAGGUGAUUAAAGCUACGGCGAUAGAAGAUGGGCAUGCGUGACAUUAGCUAGUUGGUUGAGGUAACGGCUCACCAAGGCGACGAUGUCUAGGGGUUCUGAGAGGAUGAUCCCCCACACUGGUACUGAGAUACGGACCAGACUCCUACGGGAGGCAGCAGUAGGGAAUAUUGGGCAAUGGAUGCAAGUCUGACCCAGCCAUGCCGCGUGCAGGAUGAAGGCCUUCUGGGUUGUAAACUGCUUUUAUCUAGGAAGAAAAAACUCUUGCGAGAGGAACUGACGGUACUAGACGAAUAAGCACCGGCUAACUCCGUGCCAGCAGCCGCGGUAAUACGGAGGGUGCAAGCGUUGCCCGGAUUUAUUGGGUUUAAAGGGUGCGUAGGCGGCCUUAUAAGUCAGUGGUGAAAGCCCAUCGCUCAACGAUGGAACUGCCAUUGAUACUGUAAGGCUUGAGUACAGACGAGGUAGGCGGAAUUGAUGGUGUAGCGGUGAAAUGCAUAGAUACCAUCAAGAACACCGAUUGCGUAGGCAGCUUACUAGGCUGUAACUGACGCUGAGGCACGAAAGCGUGGGGAGCGAACAGGAUUAGAUACCCUGGUAGUCCACGCUGUAAACGAUGAUUACUCGAUGUUGGCGAUACACAGUCAGCGUCUUAGCGAAAGCGUUAAGUAAUCCACCUGGGGAGUACGCCCGCAAGGUGAAACUCAAGGAUUGGCGG